This is a long non-coding RNA of Bombus impatiens (common eastern bumble bee), 859 nucleotides long. RefSeq lists it as uncharacterized. The record is from RefSeq and is a predicted model, not a curated record. The transcript has 2 exons. Lineage: Eukaryota; Metazoa; Arthropoda; Insecta; Hymenoptera; Apidae.
CCUGCAAAGAGACACCAAUGAAUAGGCUGAAGGGUACUUUGAAUAUAAGUAAAUUAGGUAUAUUUCGUUCUGCGCUUUUUAUUUUACCCACUAAAUGUUAUUACGUGGAUAUUAUAUUUUUUCGUUUCUAAUUUUCGUACAGCGAAUAUUACGCGCAUUGUAUGUAUUUUUGCAGAAUUAAAAUUUUAUGUAUGAACAUCCGCAGUCUGGAUACAAAGUAUCGGGAGAAAAUUAUUUUUGGGAUGUUUCUCAGUGUCAAGCUUAUAUAUACACAUAUAUAACGCAAGCUAUGUCAACACUGAUACGUUCUUUGAGUCAUUUUCGAUUCAGUCGAAAACGAAAGAAUUCUCGCUUAUAUGCGCGAUUCUUCGUUUCAAGUUUAUACUAAGAUCUUUUCCAAAACGUCGAAGAUCUCGUCCAUUUCACGAAAACAAAAUUGAGAUACAACGAUUUGAUGAGCGAAAUUGUAUCCGCCGUACGAAAAAACAAGGCCAACAAAUUACAAGCGACGUAUCGGAAAUUUUGAAGCAGCCGCAACCGCAAGCGGAAACACGCCGUUAGCCCCAGUUUCUACGCGUCAGCUGUUGCCUCUUACACAAGACUCCACCAAGGUACGUAUACGACUAUAUCAUAUAUCAAGAUAAUCGAGGCAAUUUCACACUCGCGCUGGCCUCAACUCUCUUUCAAUAAACGUAAUUCACUAAACGAGAUUAAAACACAUGCAUACCCGUUACAAGGUGAGAAGGGCUUGUGUGUGAUCGGUGCCACUGACUCCAAUUCGACGGGCAUUCUGUAUCAGGCUUUUCUUACUUCUAUUUCACAGUGCUCGAUUAUUAUCAACAACUCCACUCUAAAUCUA